CAAAUUUAAAAUCUACCUGGUUUCCAGGUCGAGUUGUAAUUUGAAGAUACGUUUUUGACGUUCCGGGUUGAACUAAAUCCUUUGGGAUAAGGUAUCAUGGAGGGUGAGAAUCCCGUAUAUACCAACCRUAGGGAUGUUAUUUAAUACGUUUCUAAGARUCSAGUUGUUUGGGAAUGCAGCUCUAAAUGGGUGGUAAAUUUCACCUAAUGCUAAAUAUAAGCGAGAGACCGAUAGCGAACAAGUACAGUGAUGGAAAGAUGAAAAGAACUUUGAAAAGAGAGUUAAAUAGUAYGUGAAAUUGUUGAAAGGGAAACGAUUGAAGUCAGUCAUGCCRGUGGGAAUCAACUUWGAGGAAACUCUGAGUGCACUUCUUCSCUUGGCAGGUCAACGUCSAUUUUGGAUGUCAUAAAAUGAUUGGGGGAAGGUAGCUCCUUCGGGAGUGUUAUAGCCCUUGGUAGAUGUGAUGUCUGGGAUCGAGGAUUGCAAUGGAUACCCUUUGGGGCUAGCCGCCUGAUCUCUAAUYGGUAUUGGGUUACGGAUAGCAUGC
This 547-nucleotide ribosomal RNA is filed under the name Glomeromycotina sp. Its description in RNAcentral is "eukaryotic LSU rRNA". It matches the Rfam family "Eukaryotic large subunit ribosomal RNA", at positions 110 to 612 of the family's 3401-position model. The record is from RNAcentral. Lineage: Eukaryota; Fungi; Glomeromycota.